AUUCCCCUAGUAACUGCGAGUGAGCGGGAAAAGCUCAAAUUUAAAAUCUGGUGGUCUCUGGCCAUCCGAGUUGUAAUUUAGAGAAGCGUCUUCCGCGCUGGACCGUGCACAAGUCUCCUGGAAUGGAGCGUCGUAGAGGGUGAGAAUCCCGUCUUUGGCACGGACGCACCAGGGCUUCUGUGAUGCGCUCUCGAAGAGUCGAGUUGUUUGGGAAUGCAGCUCAAAAUGGGUGGUGAACUCCAUCUAAAGCUAAAUAUUGGCGAGAGACCGAUAGCGAACAAGUACCGUGAGGGAAAGAUGAAAAGCACUUUGGAAAGAGAGUGAAACAGUACGUGAAAUUGUUGAAAGGGAAACGCUUGAAGUCAGUCGCGUCGCCCGAGACUCAGCCUUGCCUCGGCUUGGUGUACUUCUCGGCCGACGGGUCAGCAUCAAUUUUGCCCCUUGGAUAAUGGCGAGGGAAAUGUGACACCUUUACGGGUGUGUUAUAGUCUUUCGUCGCAUGCAAGGGUCGGGAUUGAGGAACUCAGCACGCGCCUUUGGGCGUCGGGGUUCGCCCACGAUACGUGCUUAGGAUGUUGGCGUAAUGGCUUUAAACGACCCGUCUUGAAACACGGACCAAGGAGUCUAACAUGCCCGCGAGUGUUCGGGUGGAAAACCCGUGCGCGCAAUGAAAGUGAAAGUUGGGACCUCUGUCGUGGAGGGCACCAACGCCCGGACCAGACCUUCUGUGACGGAUCUGCGGUAGAGCGUGUAUGUUAGGACCCGAAAGAUGGUGAACUAUGCCUGAAUAGGGUGAAGCCAGAGGAAACUCUGGUGGAGGCUCGUAGCGAUUCUGACGUGCAAAUCGAUCGUCAAAUUUGGGUAUAGGGGCGAAAGACUAAUCGACCAUCUAGUAGCU
RNAcentral lists this ribosomal RNA (898 nucleotides) under Russula cf. samguinaria. Its description in RNAcentral is "LSU rRNA". It matches the Rfam family "Eukaryotic large subunit ribosomal RNA", at positions 74 to 952 of the family's 3401-position model. Lineage: Eukaryota; Fungi; Basidiomycota; Agaricomycetes; Russulales; Russulaceae. The record is from RNAcentral.